Molecule: long non-coding RNA, 958 nt
Filed under: Chelonoidis abingdonii (Abingdon island giant tortoise)
Lineage: Eukaryota; Metazoa; Chordata; Testudines; Testudinidae
Description: lncRNA (ENSCABG00000009191.1)
Source: RNAcentral
AUAAAGACACAUUUUUUCAUACAAGGGUUGCCACCUUGCUUAAAUUAUAUAAGAUUUCACGUCAAUUAAAUGAUGAAGAUGACUCUCCAGAAGGAAGCCUACUGUCAAGUGUAGUUGUAAAAGAGACAUUAAUGGCUCCAGAGGAAUGGACACCACAGAAUGUAUUUCCAUGUGUUUUAAAAGAUUGUCAAAGUGCCACUAUGACCAUUACUGAGAUAGAUACUAGGGAGAAAGAUAAUUCUCUUGAGAAGUCUAUACCUGACUUUAUUUUAUCAUCAACAUCAGAGAAGAUUUCCAGGGAAAUAUUAACUGUACAAAGUAUAAUGGGUGAUGAAUUUGAAAUCAGAGAUUUGCUGAAAGCACUCCGUGAUUCAGAGAGUCCAGAAAUGAUAAACCCUUUGCAUAACACAUUACAAUGUCAAGGUGAUGCUCUAUCUGUAGAUAUAUCAGUAGAUGAGAACAGCAAUGUUCUGCCACUAGAGCUUCUGACAGCACUGAACUCCUUUUCAGAGUCUGUAGUACAGCCUGUCUGUCAAUUAGUAGGGAAGAAAAGAGAGCUUAAUGCUGAAGAAGAACAUUUGAGAUCAGAACCCAGUAUUUUCCAGAUAGAUGACUGCACUCAAAUAACUGAUGACAAUUUUGAACCUCAAUUUUCUGUGAAGCAAUUGGAAGAAAUAAAAGCUUUAACAGAGGCUGCAUUUCAGAGUACUUUAGAUGAAGAACUUUUAGGUAACCAGAAGAACCAGGAUUUGAUAAUUUCUGAUUACUGCAAUGUCGCCUCUUAUGACAAACAAGCUGGUGAAGGAAAUUCAGGUUCAAUAGAAAAUACCUCAGGUAUAGAAACUACCAAAGCAACUUCUUGUACAUUAAGGAGGUCAACUCGAUUAAGAGAAAACUGCACUAGAAAGCACAUAAAUGAAGCUUCCAGUUGUUAUAAAAUGCUAGAAGAAACGCACCA